RNAcentral lists this ribosomal RNA (147 nucleotides) under uncultured bacterium. RNAcentral describes it as "partial 16S ribosomal RNA". It matches the Rfam family "Bacterial small subunit ribosomal RNA", at positions 369 to 507 of the family's 1533-position model. The record is from RNAcentral.
CAAUGGACGAAAGUCUGACCGAGCAACGCCGCGUGAGUGAAGAAGGUUUUCGGAUCGUAAAGCUCUGUUGUAAGUCAAGAACGUGUGUGAGAGUGGAAAGUUCACACAGUGACGGUAGCUUACCAGAAAGGGACGGCUAACUACGUG